GUGUGAUUGUUAGUGAUGAGUGUGAGUGUAAGUGCGAGGUGGAGGUGAUGUGAGGGAGGUAAUAUAAGCUUAUACACUCGCACUUUAUUCGCUCACGACGCUCUCACUACCGGGACCCUUGUUUAUAAUGGCCAGCAAAAUGGAUGGCGAACUUUUAUCUCUGAAGUGGAACAAUCACCGCACAACUUUCUACCAUGUCAUUAGUGGUCUCCGUAAUAAGGAGACCUACACUGAUGUAACACUAGCAUGUGAGGGCAAGUUUUACCCCGUCCACAAGUUGGUUCUGUCCACGUGUAGUGAAUAUUUUAGUGAUAUAUUUGACCGCACACCAUGCAAGAACCCAGUAAUUGUUCUAAAAGACAUUCAGUGUCAAGACCUUGAGUUUUUGUUGGACUAUAUGUACAUUGGUGAAGUUAAUGUUAGACAAAAUGAACUUUCUUCUCUCAUCAAGGCAGCUGAGUGUUUGAGAAUUAAGGGUUUAGCUGUGCCAGAUGAAGAACCCAAAAAGAGUGGAACUAGUAGUGCAAAUACAAGUGGCGUGUCUCAGAGUAGACAACGUCCCGAACAGACCAGCCCUCCGGCAAAGAGGCGCAGGGCGGAGGAACGGCGCGUCACUCCGGCCGGGACCGAACACAGCCCUGGGAGACCCCCCGGGGAUGGACCAGGCAGUCCGGACCACCGAGAACUAAAUGUGGGGCGCCAGCCCGGUGUGAGUGAAGCUAGUAACCCUAGAGAACAACCUGAGGAAGCACAGACUGAUAUAAGUGCAGCAGACCAACCUCCAGUGCACAUUAAAGUGGAACACCAAGAAAAUUUUGAACAAUCUGCCAAUGAUGAUUUCUUAUCAGUACAAAGUAAUAGUUAUGAUGGUGGAGGGGGAGAAGAGGGGGACGGUCCUCACAGCUCAGAGGGCAACACUAAUGACUUCCCAGAGUUUCUUCAGUCAACUAUAGAAAAAGAAGAGCCUGUGGCUAUGAGUGAUUUUAACCCAAGUGAUUUCCCUGGACCGUCCGGCCUACAGAAUAGUGGAAUGGCCCCUUGGGAAAGUGAAAAUAAUUCCGCAAGUUUUGCGGAAGGGCUUUCUGGGGCUGUGGCGGCAGCUGUAGCUGCUGCGUCACAACCACAGCAACAAAGACAACAACAACAGUUGUCGGUGUGGACAGCUGCGUACGUAAUGAGGGAGGCGGGUGAUGUCAAGGCUUCGAUUGGUGAAGGGGUUGCGGGUGGUGUCGCGGCGGCACAAGUCAGAGGGGAGUUAGAUAGUGGCAGGGGGGGAUCAAGUUCUCAUCUUAUCUGCCACGUGUGUGGAUACGUUGCCCAGCGAAGACAGCAUCUUGAGAAUCACUUCCGCAAGCACACCGGGGAAAAACCCUAUCAGUGCCCCCAUUGUAAUCAUAAGUGUGGAUACUUAAGCAAUCUCAAGAAGCAUAUUAAAGUUCAUCACAUUGAUGGCCCAUACAUGUGUCCCAAAUGUCCCUUCUGGUCAGGGGAUCACCACGCCUUGACAGAACACCUGAAAGAGCAUAUGCCGUCUGUUGGCUCUACUAGCACUUGUUCUUCACCUUCGUAACCUUGCCAAGAGUCCCUAAUGAAUUUUCAAUUUUAAAGUGAGAAAGUAUGUGGGCGCGCAGUUCUUCGUGGGUAUCUGGCUGUGGGCGACGUGACCCAGAAGUUCAUACAGGACUGGAAGAUG
This 1693-nucleotide unclassified non-coding RNA is filed under the name Homarus americanus (American lobster). Its description in RNAcentral is "longitudinals lacking protein, isoforms A/B/D/L-like, transcript variant X4". The record is from RNAcentral. Lineage: Eukaryota; Metazoa; Arthropoda; Malacostraca; Decapoda; Nephropidae.